RNAcentral lists this ribosomal RNA (253 nucleotides) under uncultured bacterium. RNAcentral's name for it is "partial 16S ribosomal RNA". It matches the Rfam family "Bacterial small subunit ribosomal RNA", at positions 524 to 776 of the family's 1533-position model. The record is from RNAcentral.
UACGAAGGGGGCUAGCGUUGCUCGGAAUCACUGGGCGUAAAGCGCACGUCGGCGGCUUCUUAAGUCAGUGGUGAAAGCCCGGAGCUCAACUCCGGAACUGCCAUUGAAACUGUGAAACUUGAGGAUGAGAGAGGUGAGUGGAAUUCCCAGUGUAGAGGUGAAAUUCGUAGAUAUUGGGAAGAACACCGGUGGCGAAGGCGGCUCACUGGCUCAUUUCUGACGCUCAGGCGCGACAGCGUGGGGAUCAAACAGG